GGCGGUUCUCACGUGAUGCACCCCAGAAUCCGGCUCACUCCUCUUGGGUUCCUGGGUGCUUCACCAGAGAACUGCC
Molecule: non-coding RNA, 76 nt
Organism: Myotis lucifugus (little brown bat)
Lineage: Eukaryota; Metazoa; Chordata; Mammalia; Chiroptera; Vespertilionidae
Source: Rfam